AUCUGCGAUCAGCAUGCACCUCAGGUC
Molecule: non-coding RNA, 27 nt
Filed under: Homo sapiens (human)
Lineage: Eukaryota; Metazoa; Chordata; Mammalia; Primates; Hominidae
Source: RNAcentral